CGUCAAAUCAUCAUGCCCCUUAUGUCUUGGGCUACACACGUGCUACAAUGGGCGGUACAGACGGAAGCGAAGCCGCGAGGUGAAGCAAAACCGAGAAAGCCGUUCCCAGUUCGGAUUGUAGGCUGCAACUCGCCUGCAUGAAGUCGGAAUCGCUAGUAAUCGCAGGUCAGCAUACUGCGGUGAAUACGUUCCCGGGCCUU
RNAcentral lists this ribosomal RNA (200 nucleotides) under uncultured prokaryote. Its description in RNAcentral is "partial 16S ribosomal RNA". It matches the Rfam family "Bacterial small subunit ribosomal RNA", at positions 1183 to 1382 of the family's 1533-position model. The record is from RNAcentral.